Hyla sarda is the source of this 357-nucleotide long non-coding RNA. RefSeq lists it as uncharacterized. The record is from RefSeq and is a predicted model, not a curated record. Lineage: Eukaryota; Metazoa; Chordata; Amphibia; Anura; Hylidae. The transcript has 3 exons.
GGGAACCUGUCACCUGCUUUAUUCUGCUCAAACGGUGCGAUCCUGGUAAACCUUGGUCUAUGCUCCGGCAAUUCAAAGAGAUCAUAUGUGAAAAGCAGCGGGGACCCAGAGCCAAGGACGGGACCGGCAUGUCCUUGCGCAGGUGUUCCGGAUUCGUUUGAAGGGCUCUGUGAUCUUAUAGAUCUGCUCUUCCGGAUGAUGACCGCGGUGCUCAGAACCUUCUGCCUUCUAUCCUUGAUGUUCCGUGGCGUAUUUCGCUAUGUUCUCACCGAUUCCCAUGUUUGCGGAGUGGAGUCCCUGGUGAUUAAUAAAUUAUAACACAGAUUUGUCUCUGGUGCCGUUGAGAGGAUGAAGUGA